AUAAGCAUGCAAGUCGAACGCCCCGCAGGGGGAGUGGCAGACGGGUGAGUAACGCGUGGGAAUCUACCCAUCUCUGCGGAAUAGCUCUGGGAAACUGGAAUUAAUACCGCAUACGCCCUACGGGGGAAAGAUUUAUCGGGGAUGGAUGAGCCCGCGUUGGAUUAGCUAGUUGGUGGGGUAAAGGCCUACCAAGGCGACGAUCCAUAGCUGGUCUGAGAGGAUGAUCAGCCACAUUGGGACUGAGACACGGCCCAAACUCCUACGGGAGGCAGCAGUGGGGAAUAUUGGACAAUGGGCGCAAGCCUGAUCCAGCCAUGCCGCGUGAGUGAUGAAGGCCUUAGGGUUGUAAAGCUCUUUCACCGAUGAAGAUAAUGACGGUAGUCGGAGAAGAAGCCCCGGCUAACUUCGUGCCAGCAGCCGCGGUAAUACGAAGGGGGCUAGCGUUGUUCGGAAUUACUGGGCGUAAAGCGCACGUAGGCGGAUAUUUAAGUCAGGGGUGAAAUCCCGCAGCUCAACUGCGGAACUGCCUUUGAUACUGGGUAUCUUGAGUAUGGAAGAGGUAAGUGGAAUUCCGAGUGUAGAGGUGAAAUUCGUAGAUAUUCGGAGGAACACCAGUGGCGAAGGCGGCUUACUGGUCCAUUACUGACGCUGAGGUGCGAAAGCGUGGGGGAGCAAACAGGAUUAGAUACCCUGGUAGUCCACGCCGUAAACGAUGAAUGUUAGCCGUCGGGCAGUAUACUGUUCGGUGGCGCAGCUAACGCAUUAAACAUUCCGCCUGGGGGAGUACGGUCGCAAGAUUAAAACUCAAAGGAAUUGACGGGGGCCCGCACAAGCGGUGGAAGCAUGUGGUUUAAUUCGAAGCAACGCGCAGAACCUUACCAGCUCUUGACAUUCGGGGUAUGGGCAUUGGAGACGAU
RNAcentral lists this ribosomal RNA (917 nucleotides) under Rhizobiaceae bacterium. RNAcentral describes it as "bacterial SSU rRNA". It matches the Rfam family "Bacterial small subunit ribosomal RNA", at positions 49 to 1010 of the family's 1533-position model. Lineage: Bacteria; Pseudomonadati; Pseudomonadota; Alphaproteobacteria; Hyphomicrobiales; Rhizobiaceae. The record is from RNAcentral.